UUAAAUGCAGUCGAACGGCAGCACGGGAGCAAUCCUGGUGGCGAGUGGCGAACGGGUGAGUAACAUAUCGGAACGUGCCCAGUCGUGGGGGAUAACGUAGCGAAAGCUACGCUAAUACCGCAUACGAUCUAUGGAUGAAAGCGGGGGAUCGCAAGACCUCGCGCGAUUGGAGCGGCCGAUAUCAGAUUAGGUAGUUGGUGGGGUAAAAGCCUACCAAGCCUUCGAUCUGUAGCUGGUCUGAGAGGACGACCAGCCACACUGGAACUGAGACACGGUCCAGACUCCUACGGGAGGCAGCAGUGGGGAAUUUUGGACAAUGGGCGCAAGCCUGAUCCAGCAAUGCCGCGUGCAGGAUGAAGGCCUUCGGGUUGUAAACUGCUUUUGUACGGAACGAAACGGUCCUCUUUAAUAAAGGGGGCUAAUGUCGGUACCGUAAGAAUAAGCACCGGCUAACUACGUGCCAGCAGCCGCGGUAAUACGUAGGGUGCGAGCGUUAAUCGGAAUUACUGGGCGUAAAGCGUGCGCACGCGGUUAUGUAAGACAGAUGUGAAAUCCCCGGGCUCAACCUGGGACCUGCAUUUGUGACUGCAUAGCUAGAGUACGGUAGAGGGGAUGGAAUUCCGCGUGUAGCAGUGAAAUGCGUAGAUAUGCGGAGGAACACCGAUGGCGAACGCAAUCCCCUGGACCUGUACUGACGCUCAUGCACGAAAGCGUGGGGGAGCAAACAGAUUAGAUACCCUGUA
RNAcentral lists this ribosomal RNA (743 nucleotides) under uncultured bacterium. Its description in RNAcentral is "bacterial SSU rRNA". It matches the Rfam family "Bacterial small subunit ribosomal RNA", at positions 51 to 791 of the family's 1533-position model. The record is from RNAcentral.